RNAcentral lists this ribosomal RNA (207 nucleotides) under uncultured bacterium. RNAcentral describes it as "partial 16S ribosomal RNA". It matches the Rfam family "Bacterial small subunit ribosomal RNA", at positions 568 to 774 of the family's 1533-position model. The record is from RNAcentral.
CACGUAGGCGGACUGGAAAGUUGGAGGUGAAAUCCCAGGGCUCAACCUUGGAACUGCCUUCAAAACCAUCAGUCUGGAGUUCGAGAGAGGUGAGUGGAAUUCCGAGUGUAGAGGUGAAAUUCGUAGAUAUUCGGAGGAACACCAGUGGCGAAGGCGGCUCACUGGCUCGAUACUGACGCUGAGGUGCGAAAGUGUGGGGAGCAAACA